RNAcentral lists this ribosomal RNA (482 nucleotides) under uncultured bacterium. RNAcentral describes it as "partial 16S ribosomal RNA". It matches the Rfam family "Bacterial small subunit ribosomal RNA", at positions 30 to 507 of the family's 1533-position model. The record is from RNAcentral.
AUUGAACGCUGGCGGCAUGCUUUACACAUGCAAGUCGAACGGUAACAGGCCGCAAGGUGCUGACGAGUGGCGAACGGGUGAGUAAUGCAUCGGAACGUGCCCAGUCGUGGGGGAUAACUACUCGAAAGAGUAGCUAAUACCGCAUACGAUCUAUGGAUGAAAGCGGGGGACCGUAAGGCCUCGCGCGAUUGGAGCGGCCGAUGUCAGAUUAGGUAGUUGGUGGGGUAAAGGCUCACCAAGCCAACGAUCUGUAGCUGGUCUGAGAGGACGACCACCCACACUGGGACUGAGACACGGCCCAGACUCCUACGGGAGGCAGCAGUGGGGAAUUUUGGACAAUGGGCGCAAGCCUGAUCCAGCAAUGCCGCGUGCAGGAAGAAGGCCUUCGGGUUGUAAACUGCUUUUGUACGGAACGAAACGGCUCUGGUUAAUACCCGGGGCUAAUGACGGUACCGUAAGAAUAAGCACCGGCUAACUACGUG